UACAGAGGGCGCAAGCGUUGUUCGGAUUCAUUGGGCGUAAAGGGUUCGUAGGCGGCGCGGUAAGUCGGGUGUGAAAUCUUGGAGCUUAACUCCGAAACUGCAUUCGAUACUGCCGUGCUUGAGGACUGGAGAGGAGACUGGAAUUUACGGUGUAGCGGUGAAAUGCGUAGAUAUCGUAAGGAAGACCAGUGGCGAAGGCGGGUCUCUGGACAGUUCCUGACGCUGAGGCACGAAGGUCAGGGGAGCAAACGGG
This 253-nucleotide ribosomal RNA is filed under the name uncultured bacterium. Its description in RNAcentral is "partial 16S ribosomal RNA". It matches the Rfam family "Bacterial small subunit ribosomal RNA", at positions 524 to 776 of the family's 1533-position model. The record is from RNAcentral.